CAGGGAGAACCAACUUCAAAUGAUGGUCACAUUUUUUUCGUGAUCCAUUUGACUGUUCAACCCUAUGGUCGAUCGGUACCUCAAUGAACGAGAUGUUUUCUCGCUCAUCUCGGUUCUUAAGCUUGUCUAGGUCACUACCCCACAGCUGAUAAGCUGUGGAAGAUGGGCCCGAAAGGGUUCCUGGGCCAUUAGCUCAGGUGGUUAGAGCGCACCCCUGAUAAGGGUGAGGUCCCUGGUUCAAGUCCAGGAUGGCCCAUCGGGAUUGGGGGUUUAGCUCAGCUGGUAGAGCGCCUGCUUUGCAAGCAGGAUGUCAGCGGUUCGAGUCCGCUAACCUCCAUCAAUUCUGAUGUGGGAAACGGCAGAACGUGAUGGUGAUCUAGAGGAAGGUUUGUUGGUGAAUCCAGCCUCGUUUGAUACUCGGUAGUCGAGCUCAAAUGAUGCUGGACUCAGCAAUGGGUUCAGCAAGAACCUUGACAACUGCAUAGGUGAGUCUGGAAAUAAGCAUCUCACAGAGAUGACCCAGAAAUGGUAUUGAUGAUUUAGUUCAUCAAUAGAUGGAUGGAUCAUUAAUUCUGUGGAAGCCGAGAUUCAGUUGACUUGUCAACUGGAGAGUGAAAAU
This 619-nucleotide transfer RNA is filed under the name uncultured cyanobacterium. RNAcentral describes it as "16S-23S ribosomal RNA intergenic spacer". The stretch from base 265 to 337 matches the Rfam family "tRNA". The record is from RNAcentral. Lineage: Bacteria; Bacillati; Cyanobacteriota.